This is a non-coding RNA of Epinephelus lanceolatus (giant grouper), 299 nucleotides long. NCBI's taxonomy places the organism in Eukaryota, Metazoa, Chordata, Actinopteri, Perciformes, Serranidae. The record is from RefSeq and is a predicted model, not a curated record.
GAGAGACUGAAAUAUCAGCGGGAGCUAAAUAUGCCACAACAUGUCGUUAUUUUUUUACUUUGUGCGUUGGGACUCAUUCAGAAAGUGUCACCAACACCAACGCUACAGUCACUGUCACCGCUACAGCCGUGCUGCUUCGUCUCCAUGGCAACAUCCAACGUCCUCAGAUAGAGGUGUUUACCAUGAUUCCUGAAGUCACACUGUCAGACAACAGUGUGAUGGACCCACACACCUGUAGGCAAGAAGGACAACAAGCCGAUCAGACAACGGACACCCUAAGAGAAAUGAGACAAGUGUAA